CUAGAGUGGUUAGUAGUUUCUACUCGCUCUUGGGAUUUUUCGCUUCCCACAACCGUCUCCUCCAAGGUCCCUAAAUGAUGAAAAGCCACAGGCGAAGUUCUGUUGCCUUGGCAACGCGUCAGGGCCCUGUUGUAGAACCGCCAUCCUGCAAGAAGUCAGAAUCUCCCAACCUUAGGCCGCCUGCCUCGCGCACCGCUGCACCAGGGUUUCCAAACCAGCUUCCCAAACCGGACUCCCGGCCAGCUCCCUUACUUCUGGCAUGUUGUAUAGAAAUUGACACCAUCGAACAAAACUCCGAAAGUCAGAUGUGGCGCACUCCCAGCAUCUGUGCGCUGGGGAGAGGGAAACUGGAAGAUCAGGCGUUCGAGGCCGGCGUUGGCACAAAGUCUGAGGCCCACUCCGUGAGAUGGAACCCAACACUGCCCAGGUGGCCAAGAACCUGAGACUAAAUAGUCCAUGGAUAUAGGAGAAAAGAAAAUACUAUUGUACUACCAAAGAAACAAAGCAAUAAAAUGAGUCCUAAGGACAUUCUACUUUA
Molecule: long non-coding RNA, 538 nt
Organism: Psammomys obesus (fat sand rat)
Lineage: Eukaryota; Metazoa; Chordata; Mammalia; Rodentia; Muridae
Exons: 2
Source: RefSeq, a predicted model, not a curated record